Molecule: ribosomal RNA, 482 nt
Filed under: uncultured bacterium
Lineage: Bacteria
Description: partial 16S ribosomal RNA
Rfam family: Bacterial small subunit ribosomal RNA
Source: RNAcentral
AUUGAACGCUGGCGGCAUGCUUUACACAUGCAAGUCGAACGGUAACAGGCCGCAAGGUGCUGACGAGUGGCGAACGGGUGAGUAAUGCAUCGGAACGUGCCCAGUCGUGGGGGAUAACUACUCGAAAGAGUAGCUAAUACCGCAUACGAUCUAUGGAUGAAAGCGGGGGACCGUAAGGCCUCGCGCGAUUGGAGCGGCCGAUGUCAGAUUAGGUAGUUGGUGGGGUAAAGGCUCACCAAGCCAACGAUCUGUAGCUUGUCUGAGAGGACGACCAGCCACACUGGGACUGAGACACGGCCCAGACUCCUACGGGAGGCAGCAGUGGGGAAUUUUGGACAAUGGGCGCAAGCCUGAUCCAGCAAUGCCGCGUGCAGGAAGAAGGCCUUCGGGUUGUAAACUGCUUUUGUACGGAACGAAACGGCUCUGGUUAAUACCCGGGGCUAAUGACGGUACCGUAAGAAUAAGCACCGGCUAACUACGUG